GCCGAAGUGGCGGAAUUGGCAGACGCACGGGACUUAAAAUCCCGCGGGCCCUAAAGCCCGUACCGGUUCGACCCCGGUCUUCGGCACCA
RNAcentral lists this transfer RNA (89 nucleotides) under Bacillota bacterium. RNAcentral describes it as "tRNA-Leu". It matches the Rfam family "tRNA". From Rfam's summary of the family: Transfer RNA (tRNA) molecules are approximately 80 nucleotides in length. Their secondary structure includes four short double-helical elements and three loops (D, anti-codon, and T loops). Lineage: Bacteria; Bacillati; Bacillota. The record is from RNAcentral.